Molecule: non-coding RNA, 70 nt
Organism: Aspergillus flavus NRRL3357
Lineage: Eukaryota; Fungi; Ascomycota; Eurotiomycetes; Eurotiales; Aspergillaceae
Source: Rfam
AGCAUGUUAAUUCAGGGGAAGAAUGCCAGGCUCAUAACCUGGAAGUCGCUGGAUAAAACAGCACAUGCUA